UACGGAGGGUGCGAGCGUUAAUCGGAAUUACUGGGCUUAAAGGGUGCGUAGGCGGCGCGGAAAGUAGGGUGUGAAAUCCCUCGGCUCAACCGAGGAAUUGCGCCCUAAACUACCGUGCUCGAGGGAGAUAGAGGUGAGCGGAACUUAGGGUGGAGCGGUGAAAUGCGUUGAUAUCCUAAGGAACACCGGUGGCGAAAGCGGCUCACUGGAUCUCUUCUGACGCUGAGGCACGAAAGCUAGGGUAGCGAACGGG
This 253-nucleotide ribosomal RNA is filed under the name uncultured bacterium. RNAcentral's name for it is "partial 16S ribosomal RNA". It matches the Rfam family "Bacterial small subunit ribosomal RNA", at positions 524 to 776 of the family's 1533-position model. The record is from RNAcentral.